RNAcentral lists this long non-coding RNA (12613 nucleotides) under Ananas comosus (pineapple). RNAcentral's name for it is "long non-coding RNA (ACOM_LNC016790)". The record is from RNAcentral. Lineage: Eukaryota; Viridiplantae; Streptophyta; Magnoliopsida; Poales; Bromeliaceae.
GUUCCAAAUUUACACUCUCGGGGCAUAAUAGAACUAUAUAAUUAGGUUUUACUCUUUGUUCGAUAGAAUGAGAAAAAGUACUCGUUUCAAAGUUAUACUGUUAGGGCGCAACAGAGUAGUCUAAUGUUGUUCUGGUUUUCGUUCUUGUGAACGUUGACAUCGAUUCGUUCCAAAUUUACACUCUAGGGGCAUAAUAGAACUAUAUAAUUAGGUUUUACCCUUUGUUCAAUAGAAUGAGAAAAAGUACUCGUUGCAAAGUUAUACUGUUUGGGCGCAACUGAGUAGUCUAAUUUUGUUCCUGUUUUUGUUUUUGUGAACGUUGACAUCGAUUCGUUCCAAAUUUACACUCUCGGGGCAUAAUAGAACAAUAUAAUUAGGUUUUACUCUUUGUUCGAUAGAAUGAGAAAAAGUACUUGUUGCAAAGUUAUACUGUUAAGGCGCAACUGAGUAGUCUAAUGUUGUUCCGAUUUUGGUUCUUGUGAAUGUUGACAUUGAUUCGUUCAAAAUUUACACUCUCGAGGUAUAAUAAAAUAAUAUAAUUAGGUUUUACUCUUUAUUCGAUAGAAUGAGAAAAAGUACUCGUCGCAAAGUUAUACUGUUAGGGGGCAACUGAGUAGUCUACUGUUGUUCCGAUUUUGGUUCUUGUGAACGUUGACAUCGAUUCGUUCCAAAUUUACACUCUCGAGGUAUAAUAGACCAAUAUAAUUAGGUUUUCUCUUUGUUCGAUAGAAUGAGAAAAAGUACUCGUUGCAAAGUUAUAUUGUUAGGGCGCAACUGAGUAGUCUAAUAUUGUUCCGAUUUUGGGGACCGUCCUCUGGCAAGGACCGGUUCCGAACGUUGAAUAUCCCCUUUGCCAGUUUGUGCAGCUUUACGUGGACGGCUCAAAGGGGUCGCUCGCCCGACAAAGGUGACCACCGGUUGGUCCCUCACUGCGAAAAAUACCCAGGGAGGCUGUUUCAAGAAGUGAAAAGUGAGGGUUUUAUGUUGCAUCAAGUGGGUUAUGAGAAGAGGCUAGGCUUGUCCGCCUCUCAUCGCAUCACUUACACUUCAGUGGAUGCCCUUCUUCACGUCGUGAUGUCGUAGUCCUCCAUACUCACGACCUCUGAUGUCUACUCAUCUUCUGGCUCUCUGAAAGGUUAUAACAAAAAAGCAUCAUAUCGGAGGAAAAGAGGAGAAGUAGCAGAAGGCUAGUAGAAUGAUAGAAGGAGACGAGAUAGAGACUGAAAAAGAGCGAGAAAGAGAGGUAUUGACAACUAAGACAGGAAUGAGAAGCAUAUCACGCGAGUUACACUAUUCAUCAUCUCCUCUUGCCCAAAGCUUGGAGCUUGGUAAUGAUGUAAACCUCAACCUUUGAUGUGGUUUCAAUAGGCAGAGGUAGAAGUUUUAUAAUACGAAUAAGCGCGGUUCAAGACUGAACCUUAUUGAGCUGCAUAACUGCCAGGUCGAGAUAUGUUUCGACUCGAAAUCGAAGCUCGCAGCCGGCAGAGUAGUCGUAUCUCAUCAAUGGCCGCAUGAUGCGUGCAUUGUGCUUUUCGAUAGUCUUUCGAGAAUAGGUUGGCCAGAGCAUACUUGAACUGGGCUAUUUAAUUCAAAUUAAUUUCGGCACACCUAAAUUCUAAGGUCCCGAAGUCGUAGGCACAGACGGUGUGUCGCAUUACCGUCGAGUAGCAGUCGAAGUUAUCGCCAAGAGAGACCUUCGGAGCUUCGUGUCCAUGCCUAGAAGGCUAACGGCGUCGAGACGGUUCUAAGGCACGACACAUCGCAAUCGAAGAGCUUCCACAGAAGUCCACCCACCGAGGGGUGGAGCAUCACAGUAAAACCCACCAAAAGUCCUCACCAGGGCGAGAGUGGCGCUACACGAGCUAACCAGAAGGGUGCGGGCGAUCAACAUGGUCGGACUUCACUUUCAUGCUUUAGAUGUCUGAUGUCAUCAUCGAAAGACUUAACUAGUACGAGUUUAUUACAUAUUGUGAUAUAGUCAAUUACUUGACGGAAUUGUCUUAACCAUGGAUUAUCGCUGCAUAUCCUUGCAUGCUAAGGAUGGUAUAGCUCUGCGUUUGUUCAUCAUCGUCAAGACUGAUUUAGUAAAACAUGCAGAGGUGAGCGAUCGUUUGAGAACAGACACCCAAUGAAAAGUCGCCCUAGUCAACUAACGAUAAGAAUUAUUGUUUCAGUAGAUGAUAUAUGAACCUAGUGAUACCUUGGAACACAGUUGUAUUCAAGAACUCUGUCAAGAGAACGAGUGGCCAUCUAGUUAACCUAAACAUGAACGAGUGCAUUAAGUAGCCGGUAGGCAGCGCAAAACCUAAGAAAACUGCCUGCAGCUUGUCGAGAGACUACAUCAGUAUCAGAUAGUGAUGGAUCAGCGCCACCAAUCAAGUUGCUACUACACCGAGGCUAACCUCUCGGUGCCACGAAAUUCCGCCGAGUAUAGAUAUGCCCCCUGUUGAUCAGGGCGAUAUUACGAGAUUAUCAUGACAGAGAUUGAAUCGAGCUCACUUAGCUGCUGUCUUACACCUGUAGGACAGUAAGAAUCCUCGCACCUUCCUUACGAUGCUUUAAGUCGUUACACAACUCCCGGAGUGCUUCUUCGGCGAAGAUAUCUCGCAAGAUACUGGCGGGCCAGUGUAUGCCCUGGAGCCAGUGUAGUGUCCGCUCUCGGAAGAUAGGAUCCGGUCUCCGGGUAAGUGAUAUAGCUAGCCCACUCAUCCCCUAUGCAAGCAUCUUAGACGACGUAGAGGUACACGUAUCAGAUGUCACAAUGAAAACCCGACGGCGAGCGAAACUUGCGUUCGCCGAGAGAUACGAAACUAGAUAUUCCACAGAAUAUAGCCCGAAGAUCCUGUUCAAUCAUGUCCAUGAUGCUGACUCACACUUAGCAUUGUGUUUGAUGGAAGCAUGUAGUCCCGAAAGGCAUCACCGAGACAGCCUAGCAUUCUUACUAUGAGUUGUGCGAAGACAUUCGUAGUGGCAUCCUGAAUUAUGAGGCAUUGUAGUACCUGUGGCGAAUCUAGUUUCUAUGGACCAUCAAUUCACUCUCAGCCCGGAUCUUAAGCUGAAUGGUACCGCUUUCAGUUAAUAUAAUCUAUCUAUCUGCAUAUCUAUCUGUAGCGCGGGGCUAAGACGCUAGUGGGAGGAUCCGAUGCAAUGAGAUCUUCGGAGCAGAUACACGCCAGAACCCACUGGGAAACUAUUCGUAGUUCUCACUCGCACAGAGUACUAUCGCUGCACUGAGGCUGGCUUCCAAAGAAAGGAGACCGUGUUCAAUCUGGGCAGGGGAUACCCCUGUUUCUUACACUGUGACUUUGUUGAGGCGGCUCGAAUCGCCGGAAGGCGUAAGCGCCCUACGGGUUGACAGUGGUAAUCCAGACGAAGAGGGUUUUUCACUUAUUUAAAUAUCAAAUUUUUUCUUGACUUAGCGCCUUAUUUAGAAGACAGGGCAGCACCUCUAGUCGUCUAGGGAGAUCACACCUGGCUCUAUGACCUCCUUUAUCACCCUACCUCAGCUGGCGCCUUCCCUUUACUUCAGCUCCCAGGCAAAGCAAUAUAAGAUUAGUCAUAGCCAUCGAGGAUCGAUGGUGGUUGCCAGACACAGUGAUCUCAUACUGCGGUCAGCACGAGGUCAUCCUGUUAUCUGGUAGUCUAGAGAGUUGUAGGUACGAAUUCACAGACUACAUGGUCAUAUCCAAUGAGUGGUCGCAUUCUUAAUCUUAUGUCUAAUAUACACGGCCGGGCAUUCAACAUUAUUGCCCUAGUAAAGAGAUAUCGCAGCGAAAUAGAGGCUCUAACAUGCUCGGUUAAUAAAUAUAUUAUAAGAAGUUAGCUCGGCAAAAUAGGAUCACCCAUCCUCCGCUCGCAUCGAUAGUAAUGUUGCCUAGUGAAAAACAGUCCAUUAGGUUCGAAUUUUAUUACUACUCAGAUCAGGCUAGAAAAACCCGAUCAUCGUUGUACCAAGAAGUAAAGCGGCGGUGAGUACCAUACGAGCAUAAGUGUAUGCUCAGCUGACAGGCGAGUAAGCAUCAUCCUGCUAGAGGUCGUCUCGAUCUCGAAGUGUACACAUCGAGUGUUUUGCGAGGAAAGACCAAGCUCACAUGCAAAUGAAUGCGAAAUAAAGAGUGGCGAUGCUCUUCACGUACUCGAAAAUGAGCAAUUCUAGCAUCAGAUGAAAUGUUGAAGGUAUGGACAAUACCUCGCAAGACAGUCGCCCACACCAGUGCCCUGCGUGCUGAGUCAGGGCGAAGACCUCUCUGCGCAUCUCCAGAUGCGCUGCCGUGCCCCUCAGUUUGCGCCUCCGUCCCGCGUAAUUGUGGUUGUUAAUUGUUAUGUACCCAGUUCAACGUUGUUCCUUGGAACCUUGUUGCUCACUAAUCUAUGGUUGAGCCUUGGCGACAGAGGAGGCUGUCCGUUCGGCGUCGGUCCGCCCUUCGAGUAGGGGGACCCCGGAGCCACGAAGCAGCUGCAGCUGGGGCUCCGCGGCUUCUGCGGGCGUGCAGGCAUGGGAGGAGACAGGGACUCCCCCUGAGACAUCCGCCACCUCCUAGGACACUGGCUUGCAGGGGAGCCACCUCGCACUGGCCACGAACGGAAACAGUGUCCUCCUCUGCGACCAUUCGCCAUCAACCGCUGAGCUUUGCCGGCAGAUGCACACAACGGUGGAUCGCCCCUCUGCUGAUUGCUCGAGGGCGCACUCUUUGCUCCCUGCUAGAGUGCGCGGAUGCUUUGGCGACCGGUUACUAUUGGAAAGGAGCCGCCGCACGUCUUAGAAUGGGAACGCUUUCUGUUCCCCAUCGCCUCCGAGGCCCUUUGCAGCUCGGACUCUCGUAGACUCGCUCUGGAUGACGAGGCUAUCGUCGCAAGCACUCCGUCAAAACACGUCAUCGUGCCAUGAGAAGCCCAGCAGCAUCCUGAUGUGGGUCUCGAAGCCCUCGCGAAGACUCUCGCCUUGUGCGCUCGUCAAAGUAGGCUCGAAUAGAGAGCAAGGGAUCAGCCUCCACCAUGGCGGAAGACGAAGUCCUGCUCGUAGCUUCAGCUACGGUACGUUCCCACUGCUGAAGAUGUUCUAAAGCUCCGCGCUCCGGCCCAGCCUCCAAAUUUUUGAGUUGUCCCGAAAGAAUUGCUUGGAUUGGAGAUCUCCGGAACUCCCCCCAGGGUUGGGAAAGGACGGCCCAGCUGUGAGCGAGGUAGAUGUCGGCAGCCACCAAAUAGAGCUGCGUCCGCCGGUCCGAGAAAGUGUGCGGCCAAGGACGCGGUACCUGGCUCAUCCGAUGAGUAUAAGUCGCUCUAAAGCUAGGUACUCUCACAAUGUCGGUCAGGUUCGAUGAGCAGGUCGCGUCGAUAGAAACUCCUAGUUCUCUUCCUUCUUACGCUCCACGCGUAUUCUUGCGGGUCGAAUUCCCAUGAACUCAUCCAGCUUCGCACAUGCAUAGCGGGCGCCUCUGCUGCGGGGUAAUUUGCAUCCUCAGCUGGAACCUCUGGUGGUCGUCCGUCGUCGUCGAGCUCAGCAAGCAGAUAAAGAUGGAACGGAGCCGAGGGCCGAGCUACCUAGUGCAGGCGCACCUGAGGAGGUGGUGGACUUCCUACGGAGACUCUAAGAGCAGGCAUGACCCAUUCCAGAACCGGCGGCGUCGGGGAAGGUAGUCGCUUAUAUGGGAACACAGCUCUAGGCGGUGUGCGGCUCGUAAGGACUAGCUGGCAUGAGUGCUGCGUCGGAAACCGCCGCCAUGUGGAAAGGAGUCGUCAUCCUGAAUCCCGUCCCGUCAUCACUGGAGGCUUUAGACCUCGAGUGGUGAGGCUCGAGCUGCUUCGAUAGCAGUGAGUAUCCGCCCUGCUGGAUGUGGAAUGUUUUUUUUUACUUUUCUGGUCGAUCUGCUCACCCUACUCCUGCCCUGCCCCACCUGCCUCUGCCGUUGCUCGGAGGCCUGCUCUUUUCCUAGGAGGCUAAUUGACUAAGAGCCCUCAUGGGCGACGGCGUCCAGAAAGUUUGAUGGAACUAGCUCCCACGAACUCACGGAAGAAGGUGGGUCCGCUACUCCACGAGCCAAUCUGUAACACAAAGCACGCGUCAGCACGAAUAAUCGAGACUCGACCAACUCCGCCUACGGACUUGAGGCCCACAGAAACUUGCACUCACGUGCGCUAUGAGUAUUUCGCCCGUAGUCCUGCCUAUGGGUCAACCUAACCAAUGGUUCAUUUCAUUGAUUUUUCGAAAACCAACCUGUGAAUGGUAGUCUCCCCCUGUAUUUUGAGCACGGUCGUCGUAGCACAAGUACAGAGGAGAUCUGUCCCGUCGUGAAGUGGAUUCCCUGUAAUUGUGCGAUCUGACAUACUCUGGGGUCAGGUAUUUGAGAAAAACAAAAACAAAUUAUUAGUCAUUUCGCGUCAUUUCCAAACGCGCAACAAGGACCUCAGGGGUGACAGAUUAAAGUGGUAUCAGAGCCGGUUCAUCAGCUGGACAUGUGUGGCGAGUCUCGCUAUGAGCCACGGGUCGGAUGACGGGCUAACGAGCGACGUCUUACAUCGCGCUGGUGAUCUUGGGCUGUGUGUGUUGUGGACUCGACAGACGUCAGGACUGCAGCUUAAACGGGGAGUCCUGGUGACACCGCCAUAUCAACAUCGAUGAAAUGGAAGGUGUUGUUUAUUCAGGAGUUGAUAAGCACGACUUAGACACUAGCUAAAUAAUAACUGGCUUAGAGCAUUUGGGGUCUGUGUUGGUAUCAUGGGCCAACGAGUUACUCUUAAUUAAGCUUAGUGAAGCUUGGGCCUGGUCGUUACAUUGGUAAUCAGUCAAGUCGAAUUCUUUCAGCUCAUCGAAGCUACUGCUAGACACCGUCGAUUUGUUCAUGAAGUUAUUGUCGUUUCGAACUGCGAAUGAUGACCUGUCGUUCGGAUUCAGUAAUACCGAUUUUGCUGGGAGUCCACCGGGUUAUACCCAAAGCUCUCCGAGCUUUGCCUCAAUGUAAAGCUUGUGAAGCGGUGUGCGAUUUUGGAGAAGGCUGCAACGAAUCGCAAGAUAAUACCUGCACUGCGCCAAACCCUAGAAAAACUCCGGACUUGGUCACCGAAAGUUUUGGUUCAAGACCAGCUACACCACGCGAGGCUAUCUUCUUCGGGUCCGACCGAAUCCACGCCGGAGUAGAAUAUGCCGUCUCUCAAGAAUGACCACGUAGCGACGUCACGGAGCAGAAAUCCACUUCUUGAGCUUAGCGUUACAACUGUGCCGCCGCUGAAGUAUCUGGCAAUUAGCUCUGUCGCGAGAUGAUCCUCAGGUGCUCCCUACAAUACUCCGCGAGUAGAUCAGGAGUCAUCAUGAAACCGACGACAGACACUGAUCCAGAUAAGCUCGGAAGCCCUGUCAUUCAUGUCGCAUAGAAGGCUGCGCGGAGGAUUGGUGAGCCCGAAAGGCACACCGUGAACUCGUAGUGGCCGUAACGAGUCCGGAAAGGCGGUCUUUCGGCACAUCCUCAGCCCGGAUCUUUAAGCUGAUGUAGCCUCCCGACCGCAAGAUCAUCCUUGGAGUUAGCACCGACGAUCCUUUGACAAGGCUGGUCAUGGUACGAAGCCUGAACUUUCCAGUACGCGCUUUCUCAUCUUUAGAGUGACGGUCAGGUCCAGAGCGACGUGCAUCCAGACUUCUUGUACGACAUGCUCUGGCGCAGAUCGCGUCUGGAUUACGGUGGAUCGGAUGGUCUCGGUAUUACCGUUGGUGGAGUUUCGCGACUAUAAUAAACAGCUUUCAGGGUCGACAUCGGGAUGGCACCAUACCGAGGCGUCUGUUAUGGGCGUUCGAUGUCGUUCUCAGCUAUCUGCUUGGCACGCAUGUCGAAGACCGCCGGUUAGUUAGGACUACUAGAUUUAGUAGGAGACGCCACAUGAGGCAAGAUCCGCAUUGGGCGAGAGAGCGGCUUCAGACCUGCAACAGAUAGAAUCCAAGGGGCGACUAGCGCGGCCCAGGCGGAGGCCGGAACCUAGAGUUUCAGUCGUGAGUCAUGUGCUGCUCAAGUGUCGCCUUCCAGGAUCAAUACGGUUUGUUUGCGGAACAAGCUUAUCGCGCUGGUUUCGGUGGGACCCGUUCUGAGAUCCUACGAGCUGCGUUGGUCCGGUGGGCUUACCAGAUUGCUCUCAUACCGCAGUCUCGCCCGAGUGCAGCAACGUUUUUUCACGUGUCCCAUGCUUCGGAUACCACAUCCCGAUCCGUCCCCACAUCAUUCAGUCGACACGCAUUCAGCUAUGCGGGAGGAUCUCGAGCUAUGCAGUGAGGCUCCCGUUGCACGAUCCUGGUCACGUGAGGUGAACGCAGUUGCCGGAAUAGGAGCAUAUCCGUAUUCAAGGUCCAGUGGAGGAGAAGCGCGACGAGAGGGCUGCGCCUGAGGCUACUGGGAGCUUGAAUGCGUCAUGGCGGUCGAUCAUUAUCCACAGUUAUUUUGCGAGGGACGUCCUUGUNNNNNNNNNNNNNNNNNNNNNNNNNACUAAUUAUAUAGUUCUAUUAUGCCGCCGGCGCAAUUGUUAUAUAUUUGGAACGAUCUUAAAUUUACAAGAACCAAAUCGGAACAACAAUUAGACUACUAAGUUGCGCACCUAACAUAUUAACUUUUGCAACGAGCACUUAUUUCUCAUUCUACAAACAAAGAGUAAAACCAUUAUAUUGCUUAUUAUGCCUCGAGACAGUGUAAAUUUGGAACGAAUCAGAAACUUGUCAACGUUCACAAGACAACAAACAUGGACGAAAAUUAGCACUACUCAGUUUGCGCGCAACAGUAUAACUUUUGAACGAGUAUUUUUCUUCAUUGAUCAAUAGAACAAAGAGUUAAAACCUAAGUAUAUUAUUUUUUAUACCUCCAUUCGUGCUAAAUCGUAGAACGAGGUCAAUGUCAACGUUCACAAGACCAAAAUCGGAACACAUAGACUACUCAGUUGGCACCAACAGAUAUGAACUUAUGCACACGAAUACUUUUUUCUAAUUCUAUCAACAAAGAAGUAAACCCCAUAUUAUAUUGUAUCUUAUGCCCCAGAGUGUAAAUUUGGAACGUAACCAGAUGGCAAGGUUCACGUAAGAACAAAAAACAGGAACAAAAUUAGAUACUAGUUGCGGCCAAAAAGUCUAACUUUGCAACGAGUAUUUUUUCUCAUUUCUAUUAUCAGAAAGAGGUAAAACCUAAUUAUAUAGUUCUAAUUUGCCUGGAGUGUAAACUUGGAACGAAUCAGAUUCGUCAACGUGAUUAAGAAGAAAAACCAGAAAACACAUUACACUACUCUGGUUUGCAGCACUAACAGUAUAACUGCGACGUAGUACUUUUGUCUCUUUCUAUCGAACAAAAAGUGAAACCUAAUUAUCAUUCUAUUAUGCCCGGGCGAGUGUAAAUUGUGGAAGAUCUUCAACGUUCACAAAAGAACCAAAUCGGAACAACAUGAGCACUACUCAUUGCGACCUAACGUUAUAACUUUGCAACGAGUACUUUUCUGAUUUCUAUCAACAAAGAGAUAAAACCUUUAAUUAUAUCGAUAUCUAUAGUCUCGAGAGUGUAAAUUGGACGAUAUCAGAGUCAAGUUCAGAAAGAAUCAAAGAUUCGGCGAAGAACAUUAGAUACUCAGUUUUGGCCCUAACAGUUAUACUUAAUGCAACGAUCUUUUUCUACGUUCUAUCAAACAAAGAGUAAAAUACUAAUUAUAUUAUUUAUUAUACGCUCGAGAGUGUGAAUUUGGACGAAGGUCAUAUCAACGUUCACAAGAACCAGCCGGGAGACCGGUCCUUGUCCGAGAGACCGGUUCCCGAGAGCAAUACUUUCGGGACUUAGCCAAAUUUCGGCUUCUCUCGCUGGGCCAACGUUCGGGAACCGGUCCCUGCCUGCUAGGGACAGGUCUCAUCAGAGACCCCCGCAGCCCAGCCUGAUGGGACCGGUCCCUCCCUGCCAGGGACCGGUCCCCGAGAGCAUUUCUUCUCCAGUGCAGCUUUUGCACGGGUGCUCUCGCGGACACCUCCUCAAUGCACCUUAUGCAUUGUGAUCACCUUCGGACUUUCCGAAGCUUGCACGCACGACAACCAGUCGAUCUUUGACGAAGUCUAAUCCUCGAGUUUCGAGAAUUCACUUCCCUUACACUCUCCCCACUUAAAAGAGUUUCGUCCUCGAAACGAACUCAACAAUAUUAAAUUCAUCCAGAAUACUCAUACCUCGGUGGCUCACUCAAACAAGUGAGGAUGAUUCGCUCUCAUCUCCUCCUCGAGCUCCCAGGUGGCUUCGCGGUCAGCAUGAUUGCUCCACUCUCAGGGCAUAAUAGAAUAAUAUAAUUAGGUUUUACUCUUUGUUCGAUAGAAUGAGAAAAAGUACUCGUUGCAAAGUUAUACUGUUUGGGCGCAACAGAGUAGUCUAUUGUUGUUCCGGUUUUCGUUAUUGUGAACGUCGACAUCGAUUCGUUCCAAAUUUACACUCUCGGAGUAUAAUAGAACUAUAUAAUUUGGUUUUACUCUUUAUUCAAUAGAAUGAGAAAAAGUACUCGUUGCAAAGUUAUACUGUUUGGGCGCAACUCAGUGGUCUAAUUUUGUUCCGGUUUUUGUUCUUGUGAACGUUGACAUCGAUUCGUUCCAAAUUUAUACUCUCGGGGCAUAAUAGCACAAUAUAAUUAGGUUUUACUCUUUGUUCGAUAGAAUGAGAAAAAGUACUCGUUGCAAAGUUAUACUGUUAGGGUGCUACUGAAUAGUUGAAUGUUGUUCCAAUUUUGAUUCAUGUGAACGUUGACAUCGAUUCGUUCCAAAUUUACACUCUCGGGGCAUAAUAAAAUAAUAUAAUUAGGGUUUACUCUUUGCCCGAUAGAAUGAGAAAAAGUACUCGUUGCAAAGUUAUACUGUUAGUGUGCAACUGAGUAGUCUAAUAUUGUUCCGGUUUUUGUUCUUCAGAUCGUUGACAACGAUUCGUUCCAAAUUUACACUCUCAGGGCAUAAUAGAACAAUAUAAUUAGGUUUUACUCUUUGUUCGAUAGAAUGAGAAAAAGUACUCGUUGCAAAGUUAAACUGUUUUGGGCGCAACUGAGUAGUCUAAUUGUUCCGUUUUUGUUCUUGUGAACUUGACAUCGAUUCGUUCCAAAUUUACACUCUCGGGGCAUAAUAGAGAAUAUAAUUAUGUUUUACUCUUUGUUCGAUAGAAAUGAGAAAAAGUACUCGUUGCAAGUUAUACUGUUAGGCGCAACCUGAGUUGUCUAAUGUUGUUCCGGUUCUUGGUUCUUGUGAUACGUUGAAAUCGAUUCGUCAAAUUUAUUACACUCUUCGGGGGGCAUAAUAGAAGCUAUAUAAAUUAUGGUUUUAAGCUCUUAAUUCGAUUUUUAGAAAAGAGAAAAAAGUACUACGUUGCAAAGUUAUAGCCUGUUAGCACGCCAACAGAGUAGUCUUAAUUUGUUCCGGUUCACAAAGAACGAAAACCGGAAACGAACAUUAGACUAUCGGUUUUCGUUCUGUGAACGUUGACAUCGAUCGUUCCAAAAUUUACACGCCUUUGGGGCCAUUAAAUAGAACAUGAUAAUAUGUUUUAUCCUUUGUUUCGAUGCGUAGAAUGAGAAAACGUACUCUGUUUCACAAAGUUAUAGCUGUUUGGGGCCGCCCCCCCAACUGAGUAGUACUAAUUUUGGUUACCCGGAUUUUGUUCUUAUAGUGAACUGUUGACAUAACGAUUCGUUUCCGUCCUUAUAACUAUUGAAUUUAAGAGGAUUUAGACUCCCUUUUCGCUCAUGAGGGACCAANNNNNNNNNNNNNNNNNNNNNNNNNNNNNNNNNNNNNNNNNNNNNNNNNNNNNNNNNNNNNNNNNNNNNNNNNNNNNNNNNNNNNNNNNNNNNNNNNNNNNNNNNNNNNNNNNNNNNNNNNNNNNNNNNNNNNNNNNNNNNNNNNNNNNNNNNNNNNNNNNNNNNNNNNNNNNNNNNNNNNNNNNNNNNNNNNNNNNNNNNNNNNNNNNNNNNNNNNNNNNNNNNNNNNNNNNNNNNNNNNNNNNNNNNNNNNNNNNNNNNNNNNNNNNNNNNNNNNNNNNNNAAAUUUACACUCUCGGGGCAUAAUAAAAUAAUAUAAUUAGGUUUUACUCUUUGUUCGGUAGAAUGAGAAAACGUACUCGUUGCAAAGUUAUACUGUUAGGGCGCAACUGAUUAGUCUAAUGUUGUUCCGUUUUUCGUUCUUAUGAACGUUGACAUCGAUUCGUUCCAAAUUUACACACUCGGGGCAUAAUAGAGCAAUAUAAUUAGGUUUUACUCUUCGUUCGAUAGAUUCAGAAAAAGUACUCGUUGCAAAGUUAUACUGUUAGGGCGCAACUGAGUAGUCUAAUGUUGUUCCGGUUUUUGUUCUUCUGAACGUUGACAUCGAUUUGUUCCAAAUUUACACUCUCGAGGCAUAAUAGAACAAUAUAAUUAGGUUUUACUCUUUGUUCGAUAGAAUAAGAAAAAGUACUCGUUGCAACCUUAUACUGUUUGGGCGCAACUGAGUAGUCUAAUUGUCACGCCCCGCGACCAACCGCCGAUUUGGACCGGGUCGCGGCGCCGCCGACAGACCGCCGAACGGACCGGGAAUUCCCCUGUAUGCGGACAGGGUCUCCCCAGUACGUCCAAGGCGUCGCAAUCCAAACAAUCAACGAAUAUUCCAACAAGA